GUGAGUGUAGCUCAGUUGGUUAGAGUACCAGGUUGUGGCCCUGGGGGUCGGGGGUUCAACUCCCCUCACUCACCCCA
RNAcentral lists this transfer RNA (77 nucleotides) under Candidatus Adiutrix sp. RNAcentral describes it as "tRNA-His". It matches the Rfam family "tRNA". Rfam says of the family: Transfer RNA (tRNA) molecules are approximately 80 nucleotides in length. The record is from RNAcentral. Lineage: Bacteria; Pseudomonadati; Thermodesulfobacteriota; Desulfarculia; Candidatus Adiutricales; Candidatus Adiutricaceae.